GCGGGUGUAGUUCAAUGGUAGAACUCCAGCCUUCCAAGCUGGCAGCGUGGGUUCGAUUCCCAUCACCCGCUCCA
This 74-nucleotide transfer RNA is filed under the name Harryflintia acetispora. Its description in RNAcentral is "tRNA-Gly". It matches the Rfam family "tRNA". From Rfam's summary of the family: Transfer RNA (tRNA) molecules are approximately 80 nucleotides in length. Their secondary structure includes four short double-helical elements and three loops (D, anti-codon, and T loops). The record is from RNAcentral. Lineage: Bacteria; Bacillati; Bacillota; Clostridia; Eubacteriales; Oscillospiraceae.